Molecule: ribosomal RNA, 273 nt
Filed under: uncultured bacterium
Lineage: Bacteria
Description: partial 16S ribosomal RNA
Rfam family: Bacterial small subunit ribosomal RNA
Source: RNAcentral
UACGGAGGGUGCGAGCGUUAUCCGGAAUCACUGGGCGUAAAGGGCGCGUAGGCGGUUUGUUAAGUCCGAUGUUAAAGACCGAGGCUCAACCUCGAUACGGCGUUGGAUACUGACAAGCUGGACGGUUGGAGAGGAAGGUAGAAUUACCAGUGUAGCGGUGGAAUGCGUAGAUACUGGUAGGAAUACCCAUUGCGAAGGCAGCCUUCUGGACAACACGUGACGCUGAGGCGCGAAAGUGUGGGGAGCAAACCGGAUUAGAAACCCUCGUAGUCC